GGAAAGAUGGCCGAGUGGCCGAAGGCGCUUCCCUGCUAAGGAGGUAUACCCCGUUAAAGGGUAUCGAGGGUUCGAAUCCCUCUCUUUCCG
RNAcentral lists this transfer RNA (90 nucleotides) under Chlamydiae bacterium RIFCSPHIGHO2_12_FULL_49_11. RNAcentral describes it as "tRNA-Ser". It matches the Rfam family "tRNA". Rfam says of the family: Transfer RNA (tRNA) molecules are approximately 80 nucleotides in length. Their secondary structure includes four short double-helical elements and three loops (D, anti-codon, and T loops). Further hydrogen bonds mediate the characteristic L-shaped molecular structure. tRNAs have two regions of fundamental functional importance: the anti-codon, which is responsible for specific mRNA codon recognition, and the 3' end, to which the tRNAs corresponding amino acid is attached (by aminoacyl-tRNA synthetases). tRNAs cope with the degeneracy of the genetic code in two manners: having more than one tRNA (with a specific anti-codon) for a particular amino acid; and 'wobble' base-pairing, i.e. permitting non-standard base-pairing at the 3rd anti-codon position. Lineage: Bacteria; Pseudomonadati; Chlamydiota. The record is from RNAcentral.